This 494-nucleotide ribosomal RNA is filed under the name uncultured bacterium. RNAcentral's name for it is "bacterial SSU rRNA". It matches the Rfam family "Bacterial small subunit ribosomal RNA", at positions 28 to 509 of the family's 1533-position model. The record is from RNAcentral.
GAUGAACGCUGGCGGCGUGCCUAACACAUGCAAGUCGAACGGACGCUUUGAGAAGAGUCUUCGGAUGAUUCUUAAAGUUGUUAGUGGCGGACGGGUGAGUAACGCGUGGGGAACCUGGCCUUUGUCCGGGGGAUAGCAGCUGGAAACGGCUGGUAAUACCGCAUAAGACCACGAAGCCGCAUGGCUUUGCGGUAAAAGAUUUAUCGGACAGAGAUGGACCCGCGUCUGAUUAGCCAGUUGGCAGGGUAACGGCCUACCAAAGCAACGAUCAGUAGCCGGCCUGAGAGGGCGGACGGCCACAUUGGGACUGAGACACGGCCCAGACUCCUACGGGAGGCAGCAGUGGGGAUAUUGCACAAUGGAGGAAACUCUGAUGCAGCGACGCCGCGUGAGUGAUGAAGUAUUUCGGUAUGUAAAGCUCUAUCAGCAGGGAAGAAAGGCCCCGAAAGGGGAGAUGACGGUACCUGAGUAAGAAGCCCGGCUAACUACGUGCC